GGCGGGGAAGGGCUCCCCUUACCGGAGAGGGACGCGGCAGCCGAGGGGCGGCCAGGGCUCGGUCUCUCCCGCCCCGCCCCGCCCCUCCCCAGGCAGCCGCCACUCGCCCGCCAGGGGGCGACUCCGCGCGUCCCGGGCGAGCCCACAGCGCGGACUGGGCCACCCUGUACACGCCUCUCCCUAGGUCACCGCCCUGCCGGCCGGUGCGCCCGGCGGGAGCGUGCGCGACCGUGGGCGCCGGGUCACGUUGGGCGGUGUAGACAACGGCGGGCGCGCGCACGUCCUGACUCAGCCUGGGCCCGCGGAGGCGACGAGAGCUGGAGGAAGCGGUGGCCGAGCCUUGUGGUCGGAAUCAUUGCAAAGGAUCCCACUUCACUAGAAGAAGAGAUCAAGAAGAUUCGUCGAGUGGCAGUAGUAAGGCUCUGGACAACACUCCGGAGUUGGAGCUCUCUGACAUUUUCUACUUUUGCCGGAAACGAAUGGAGACCAUUAUGGAUGAUGAGGUGACAAAAAGAUUCUCAGCAGAGGAACGGGAAUCCUGGAACCUGCUGAGCAGAACCAAUUAUAACUUGCAUUCCAUCAGCCUUCGGCUCACGGUCCUGUGGGGGUUAGGAGUGCUGAUUCGCUACUGCUUCCUGCUGCCGCUCUGGUGAGACAGGGCCUGUGGGAAGCGGGGCUUGCUGCUGCCCCCCCCCAUCCUGGUGCACGGCCACCUGCCUGCUCUGCUUGUGUUCCUGUUUUAGAAAGGAGGAGGGGAUGACUGUCACUGGCCAGGCCACAUGACUCCUUGGAGGGGUACACCAGUCAUUCUCUUUCAGAGACCCUUGGAUGCUCUGCAAAUCAGAUAGAAAUAGUUGGAUUUCUUAGAGACAGCUUGCUUGUCUAGAUGAUAGCAAACACACAGAGAGGAACAUCGUGUGCUUUCUGGCCACUCCUCCCUGGGCAUGGCUCAUUCAUUCCUGAAGCUUGCCUCUCGGGUACAGAGGCAAGCUUCAGUAUUGGUCUCUCAGCUUCUCUGUACCGUGUGCUGUUCUGAGUGUGUCUCAUCAGGUGCUGGUACCUUCAGGCUUCACCUUCUCUUGCUUCAGAGGAAAGCUGUGCUUCCACCGGGGUUUCUAGCCAAAGGGAAGGGGAGGGCAGCAGGGAGCAGCCCUGCAGCAGAACCGCCAGCUUAGGGAUUUUCCAGCCUUCCAGUUGCCUGAGGCCUCAGGAGAUGCUGGCAGCCGAGAGCCAGACCCACAGCGCACUGUCAGCUGGAAUUGAAAGGAUCUCUGGUUCUGAUAGGCCUGCUCGCAUUUCUAGGUGAACUCUGGUCCAGGUCCCAGGUGAUCAGGUCUUGGGGGUGGUUUUUGUGAUGCCCACUUUGAUGUUCACACCUUCGGCUCUGUACUUACAGGAUAGCUCUGGCUUUCACAGGGAUUAGCCUUCUGGUGGUGGGCACAACUGUGGUGGGAUACUUGCCGAAUGGAAGGUGAGUAGAGAAUGGGAGUCCACGCCUAAAGGGCAGUUCCUUCUGGGAAUGAUGCUCACAUAUCGAAGGCCAGGCCACUUCUUUGGAUGCAGCCAAAUUCGUGGAAUCUCAGAUGGAUUAAAUAACCCACUGGUGGCCGGGCAUGGUGGGUCACGCCUGUUAUCCUAGCACUUUGGGAGGCCAAGGCGGGCCGAUCACUUGAGGUCAGACAUUCGAGACCAGCCUGGCCAGCAUGGUGAAACCCCAUCUCUACUAAAAAUAUGAAAAUUAGCUGGGCGUGGUGGCAGGUGCCUGUAAUCUCAGCUACUUGGGAGGUGGAGGCAGGAGAAUCCUUCAACCUGGGAGUCAGAGGUUGCAGUGAGCUGAGAUUGCACCACUGCACUCCAGCCUGGGUGACAGAGCGAGAAUGUGUCUCAAAAUAAGAACAAUAAUCACACAGUGAUAACAGUGGCAUCAGCAGUUAAGUCUUUACUUUUUUGAUUUUGAUCUAUGACUGUGUUCUUUUUGCCCUUCAGCCCUCACAUUCUUCCCAUUUUCAAGACAAAAGGGAGAAGCCACAAACAUUUAGAGUCUGAAACUCAGAUGUUAGCAGAUUUUAUAGCUUGUUUAGUUUUGAGCAUUUGACUGUGUGGAUAAAGUGGUGAGACGAUACUGUUUGUAAAAUGGUCUGAAAUGUCGGGAGGCUUUGUCUGUUUAUGAAGAAUAUUUUCCUCCCUUCGGGAAGUUCUGGGGCUUGGAAACCUUUCCUCUGCCCGGGCUGGUGCGGAGGUUGGCCUCUGGUCUUGGGCCUGCCCCUGGGUGUUGACAUGGGGAACGGAGUUCUACCCGCCUGUGGUCUCCGGAUGCCGGAUUCUAGGCUGUGAAUUCUCCACCAGCUGACUUGGGUGCAUGUAAGUGAGUGUCCCUGUUUCCUCUUUCUUGGCUCAUGUGUGAACAUAAAGGUGCUCUUGCAUCACAGGCUUUCCUGUAUGUGCUUAUGUCUGUAAAAGCACUUUGCCAUCCUAAAGGACUGCUGAGCUGUUCACGUCAGCAACUCUUUCUGUCUUACUGUAUGUAAAAUAACAGCCAGAAUCCUCGUCCUGUUGUUGCAGGUUUAAGGAGUUCGUGAGUAAACAUGUUCACUCAAUGUGUCACCGGAUCUGUGUGCGAGCACUGACAGCCAUCAUCACCUACCACGACAGGUGAGCGUGCCUUGUACCCAUACGAAGGGAGGUGGCGCUGGCGGGACACCACCCACCUAUGCUUGGCCAACAGGAGGUUGCUUCUGAGCUUUGAAGUGUUCACACUAAUUUUGGUUGUUUUGCAUACCUUUUAAACCCAGGGAAGACAGACCGAGAAACGGUGGCAUCUGUGUGGCUAAUCACACCUCGCCGAUCGAUGUGAUCAUCUUGGCCAGUGAUGGCUAUUAUACCAUGGUAAGAGCUUUUUCUGGCAGGUUCUUGAGGCAAGACUUCCUACGUUAGACCGGUCAGGGCUAGGAGGCUCCUGGACCCUUCACAUAAAGACUUUUAAGCGUGGACCCCACCUACACUCUCACUGGGGGUGCUCUGUGGGACUGUGAUAGGAGAUGCCCUGGGCAGAGUGAGUGGUGAGUGUGGCUGGAGAGGAUGCUGAGGGUGUUCAGGUAGACCCGCAAUGGGAGAGGGAGGGGCUGGCAAGGAGUGUUUCCAGGGCAUCUGAGAAUCUGCCCAGGGAGGGGCAGUUUUACACAGAUAAUCGCUCUACUUUAGUGUUUUAGUAUUUUGUCUUAGGGGUUUCAGUUAUAUUUUUAAUGACCUAUUUCUAGUAUGACUAAUUAAAAGAAGUUUAAGAUUUGGGGAGACCUGGUAGUGGUUUCUUGGCAGUGAGCAACCUCUUGCCAGCAGGCAUUAGAGGUGAGAAGUAGGACCAGCAAGCGUUAGUUAAAUCUUAAUUUAUUUUUUUAGAAAUUUUGAGUAGAGACGAGGUUUCACCAUCUUGGCCAGGGUGGCCUUGAACUCCUGACCUCGUGAUCCACCCGCAUCAGCCUCCCAAAGUGUUGGGAUUACAGGUGUGAGCCACCGCACCUGGCCUAAAUUUUAUAUAUAUAUAUAUAUAUAUACACAUAUAUAUAUAUAUUAUAAUUUUCUUUUCUUUUUCUUUUCUUUUUUUUUUUUUGAGAUGGGGUUUUGCUCUUGUUACCCAGGCUGGGGUGCAAUGGCGCGAUCUCGGCUCACCACAACCUCCGCCUCCUGGGUUCAGGCAAUUCUCCUGCCUCAGCCUCCUGAGUAGCUGGGACUACAGGGUUGAUACUGAUUUUCAUAUGAUAACGUUCGGCAAAGGCCUCCCUGCAUUUGAAGAGCAGGUUUUCAUUUAUAUGUAUUUUUGGGAGAAAAAGUAAUAAAAGUUGUAAAUAUAAACACACACACGCACACACACACUAUGAAAUGUACCUCAAGGCCUCUCCUGAGGCACUCAGCCAUUGACUGUGAUAAGGCUGUGCAGCUGAGGUGCAUGAAUUUCAUGUGUAUGCAACACGAGAGAUAUUCCCAGGAAGUUAAGCUUCAUACUAGGAAAUGUCUGUGUAGGUGUAUUUGUUCGUUUUAAAUGCUUAAGGAGUGAUCAGAGACUAUGGUGGAGAGGGGAAGCUGUUCUUCCAAAGAGAAAUUCGCUCAUUUUCUAACGAAUUCUUCCUCCUUCCGUUGCUUCCCUGCAGUAGAAAUGUGGGGGAGACCAAAGCUGCGAUUCCAGUCCACACCAGAGCCCAGAAAGAUUCCCAGGACCCGGGAGAUGCUUCCUGAGCAUCAGGAGCCUGCGGAACGCAGGAAGGAUGGUCCUACAUGAACCAGGAGGAACG
Long non-coding RNA from Callithrix jacchus (white-tufted-ear marmoset), 4286 nucleotides. NCBI's taxonomy places the organism in Eukaryota, Metazoa, Chordata, Mammalia, Primates, Cebidae. The record is from Ensembl.